AAUCAACGCUGGCGGCGUGCCUCAGACAUGCAAGUCGAACGAUUAAAGCUCUCUUCGGAGAGUGCAUAGAGUGGCGCACGGGUGAGUAACACGUAAGUAAUCUACCUUCGAGUGGGGAAUAACGUCCGGAAACGGACGCUAAUACCGCAUAAUGCAGCGGCAUCGUAAGAUGACAGUUGUUAAAGAUUUAUCGCUUGAAGAGGAGCUUGCGGCAGAUUAGCUAGUUGGUAAGGUAAUGGCUUACCAAGGCUACGAUCUGUAACCGGUCUUAGAGGACGGUCGGUCACACUGACACUGAAUAACGGGUCAGACUCCUACGGGAGGCAGCAGUCGGGAAUUUUGGGCAAUGGGCGAAAGCCUGACCCAGCAACGCCGCGUGAAGGAUGAAGUAUUUCGGUAUGUAAACUUCGAAAGAAUAGGAAGAAUAAAUGACGGUACUAUUUAUAAGGUCCGGCUAACCACGUGCCAGCAGCCGCGGUAAU
RNAcentral lists this ribosomal RNA (482 nucleotides) under uncultured bacterium. RNAcentral describes it as "bacterial SSU rRNA". It matches the Rfam family "Bacterial small subunit ribosomal RNA", at positions 32 to 524 of the family's 1533-position model. The record is from RNAcentral.